GUUACUGUGGAUGUGGAAAUCCAGGGUGAGGCUGGUGGUUGAAGGAGAAAGGAGCUCUGCUGCUGCAGAGGCUGGCAUGGAGCAGCACAGACUCAAGACGCUGAAGACCACGUAUCACUUUCCUUAAGACUCCUCCUCGGGACCUGUCCCUGGAGACCGUCCUGAUGGACCGGCUGGACGCUCUUGUGUCACAUGCUUGGUGAGGUGGACAUCCAUCCUCGUGGACCCUGAGACAGCCUGCAGGCCUGAACUCUCCACACCCGUGGAUGAGCUGAGCCUCCUCGUGAAAAGGGAGGGACAAUUCUGGACACCACCUUCCCCCAAAUCCUGGAGCUCCAGGUCAUCUGCAUCCCGUGCUCUGGAUCAGUAUUUUCUACAAUCUCAGGGUCUCCAAGGAAUGACUGCACCUGACCAGGCUGGGCUGAGUUGCCUUUUAAGUGAUGGCUGUUUUCAAUGAUACCGGGAGACAGAUGGUCUGUUCUAAGAAGGUAAUGGCUUUACAGUAUUUUUCAGAGAUUCCCCAGUAGAAAUCACUUGGUGUUUCCAUCAAACGGUCGCAGCAUUUACUUAGCUGACUCAGAUUCCCCUGGGAAGUGGUCUGCUCCUCCUCUCCUGGAGAGAGACAGGAACUGGCAGGUCCUCACCUUGUCGGUGACAGUGACGCAAAUAUGGAGGUCCCAUCUCCACCACUAACCACCUUGCAGGCAAGCUUCCCAUCGUGCAGAGAAAGUAAAGAGGCGAGUGACUUGCAGAAGGGUGCACAGAGGCAGGAGGGGGGUGGAGCCUGGCGCUCACAGGCACAAAGUGGAAAGCAUCUUUCUCUUGGGCUGGAAAGGCUUGAGGGUGGGCUGCCUCUUCUGCCACCCGAGAUCUGAAGGUGGCGAUUGCAUUCCUGUUGCAGUGCAGAACCCCUGCCCGGACAAAGCAGCAAUUCAGCCGCCUUGACCUCGGGGCAAGGCUCCUGGCCGUGCAUUCUUUUUCAGGCGUUAUUCGUGGAGAGCCUGGCUGGGUGGCUGAAGAAGACCCAGAAGUGAUGAGAAGAGGCCGUUCAGGAGCCCACGCUGUCUCUACUGAGAUGAAGUAAAACCACGUUGUCUACGCAGGUGCACAAACCAUUUCAGCUCGAGCAUCUGCUUAAGAGGGAAGGGGUGCAGCGCUGGAGCCAUCAGAAUUAGACGGUAAUGAUUAACUAUCUCCUUACUGCGUCCCCGGAACGUAAGCCAUGGUGCAUCUGAAUCCCUGCACCGUGUUCCACAUGCCAGGAUCUUGGCAACGAGAGGGGAACCCUGCAGAGGCGUGGGGUCGCACCUGACACGGCAACCCUCCUCCCUCUGCUUCUCGCGGAUCCAGCCGGAUGGGGCAGCAGGUGGAGAUACUGCUCCCCUUUGGAAGGGACCCAGGUGAUGACACUGGACCACCUGUAAGACCCAGGUCACCUGUGCAUCUCAAGGUGCUUAGCAGGACCACAUCUGCCCACUCCCUUUUGCCACUAAGUUCACAUAUUCACAACGUUCGGGUAUUAGAACAUGGACAUCUUUGGGGACAUUACUCAGCUGACCACAGCAGGCGUCUCAACACUGAUGCCUUAUGCUCUUCUGUGCUCUCAGCUCUGGACUUUGUUGGUGGAUUCCCCCAAUCUUCCUCAGUUCUUAUACUGUUUUAAUGUAUCUUUAAAUAACAGAGGCCAGAAAUAAACCCACACACCUAUGGUCAAUUAAUAUUUGACAAAGGACACAAGAAUACACAAUGGGAAAAAGUCUCUUCAGCAAGUGGUGCUGGGAAAGUUGGAGACAUGCAUGUAAAUCAAUGAGGUUUAGAACACACGCUCACACCAAACACAAAAAUAAACUCAAAAUGGAUUAAAGGCUUAAAACUCCCAGAAGAGAACACAGGCAAAACAUUCUCUCACGAAUCAGGUCAGUCUCCCAAGGCAAUAGAAACAUAAACAAAUGGGACCUAAUCAGCUUUUGCACAGCAGAGGAAACCAUGAACAGACUAUAGAAUGGGAGAAAAUAUUUGCAAGCAAUGCAACUGAUGAAGGCUUAAUUUCCAAAAUCUACAAACAACUGAACAACAAAUACCCCAGUCGAAAAAUGGGCAGAGACCUAAAUAGACAUUUCUUCAAAGACAUACAGAUGGCAAACAGACACAUGAAAGGGUGCUCAACAUCUCUACAUUAUUAGAGAAAUGCACAUCAAAAGUACAGUGAGGUAUCACCUCACACAGGGCAGAAUGCCCAUCAUCAAAAAGUCUACAAAUAAUAUAUGCUGGGGCGGGGGUGAAGGAAAGGGAACCCGCCUGCACUGUGGGUGGGAAUGUAAGAACAGGAUGGAGGUUCCUCAAAAAACUACAAAUAGAACUACCAUACGACCCAGCAGUCCCAUUACUGGGCAUAUACCCUGAGAAAACCAUAAUUCAAAAAGACACAUGCAUGCCAGUGUUUAUAGCAGCACUGUUUACAAGAGCCAGGUCAUGGUAGCAACCUAACUGUCCAUCAGCAGAUGAAUGGAUAAGAAGAUGUGGUACAUACAUUACUAAUGCCAUUGGCAGCAACGUGGAUGGACCUAGAGAUUAUCAUACUAAACGAAGGAAGUCAGACAAAGACAAAUACCACCUGAUAUCAGAAGCAGAAACAGACUCACAGACUUAGGGAAGGAACUUAUGUUUACCAAAGGGGAAGGGGUGGGGGAAGGAUAAAUUAGGAGUUUGGGAGUAACAUACACACAUACUAUACAUAAAAUAGAGGAACACACUACUAUAUAUAGAAUAGAGGAAAACGAGGACCUACUGUGUAACACGGAGAACCCUACUCAGUAUUUUGUAAUAACCUAAAUGGGAAAAGAAUAUGUACAUGGAUAACUGAAUCACUAUGCUGUAUACCUGAAACUAACAAUGUUGUAGAUGAA
Molecule: long non-coding RNA, 2906 nt
Organism: Globicephala melas (long-finned pilot whale)
Lineage: Eukaryota; Metazoa; Chordata; Mammalia; Artiodactyla; Delphinidae
Source: RefSeq, a predicted model, not a curated record